AAUCAACGCUGGUGGCGUGCCUAACACAUGCAAGUCGAACGCGACUUAGGCUUCGGUCUAAGUUGAGUGGCGAACGGGUGAGUAACACGUGGGUGACCUACCUUCGAGUGGGGGAUAACGUCCCGAAAGGGACGCUAAUACCGCAUAACAUCCUGCCUUUGAACAGGUGGAGAUCAAAGCCGGGGAUCGCAAGACCUGGCGCUUGAUGAGGGGCCCGCGCCUGAUUAGCUAGUUGGGAGGUAAUGGCUCACCAAGGCGACGAUCAGUAUCCGGCCUGAGAGGGCGGACGGACACACUGGGACUGAGACACGGCCCAGACUCCUACGGGAGGCAGCAGUGGGGAAUUGUUCGCAAUGGGCGCAAGCCUGACGACGCAACGCCGCGUGGAGGAUGAAGACC
Molecule: ribosomal RNA, 399 nt
Filed under: uncultured bacterium
Lineage: Bacteria
Description: bacterial SSU rRNA
Rfam family: Bacterial small subunit ribosomal RNA
Source: RNAcentral